AUUGAACGCUGGCGGCAUGCCUUACACAUGCAAGUCGAACGGCAGCGGACCUUCGGGUGCCGGCGAGUGGCGAACGGGUGAGUAAUGCAUCGGAACGUGCCAUUGAGUGGGGGAUAACGUAGCGAAAGUUACGCUAAUACCGCAUAUUCUGUGAGCAGGAAAGCAGGGGACCGCAAGGCCUUGCGCUCUUUGAGCGGCCGAUGUCAGAUUAGCUAGUUGGUGAGGUAAAGGCUUACCAAGGCGACGAUCUGUAGCGGGUCUGAGAGGAUGAUCCGCCACACUGGAACUGAGACACGGUCCAGACUCCUACGGGAGGCAGCAGUGGGGAAUUUUGGACAAUGGGCGCAAGCCUGAUCCAGCCAUGCCGCGUGAGUGAAGAAGGCCUCGGUUGUAAGACUCUUUCGGUCCGGGAACGGAAAUACGCCAUGGGUUAAGUACCCUGUGUGGAGUGACGGUACCGGAA
Molecule: ribosomal RNA, 463 nt
Filed under: uncultured bacterium
Lineage: Bacteria
Description: bacterial SSU rRNA
Rfam family: Bacterial small subunit ribosomal RNA
Source: RNAcentral